RNAcentral lists this ribosomal RNA (492 nucleotides) under uncultured bacterium. Its description in RNAcentral is "partial 16S ribosomal RNA". It matches the Rfam family "Bacterial small subunit ribosomal RNA", at positions 29 to 507 of the family's 1533-position model. The record is from RNAcentral.
AGUGAACGCUGGCGGUAGGCCUAACACAUGCAAGUCGAACGGCAGCACAGUAAGAGCUUGCUCUUACGGGUGGCGAGUGGCGGACGGGUGAGGAAUACAUCGGAAUCUACUUUUUCGUGGGGGAUAACGUAGGGAAACUUACGCUAAUACCGCAUACGACCUACGGGUGAAAGCAGGGGAUCUUCUGACCUUGCGCGAUUGAAUGAGCCGAUGUCGGAUUAGCUAGUUGGCGGGGUAAAGGCCCACCAAGUCGACGAUCCGUAGCCGGUCUGAGAGGAUGGUCAGCCACACUGGAACUGAGCCACGGUCCAGAGUCCUACGGGAGGGAGCAGUGGGGAAUAUUGGACAAUGGGCGCAAGCCUGAUCCAGCCAGACCGCGUGGGUGAAGAAGGCCUUCGGGUUGUAAAGCCCUUUUGUUGGGAAAGAAAAGCAGCAGGUUAAUACCCCGCUGUUCUGACGGUACCCAAAGAAUAAGCACCGGCUAACUUCGUG